Molecule: ribosomal RNA, 433 nt
Filed under: uncultured bacterium
Lineage: Bacteria
Description: partial 16S ribosomal RNA
Rfam family: Bacterial small subunit ribosomal RNA
Source: RNAcentral
AGCGAACGCUGGCGGCAGGCUUAACACAUGCAAGUCGAACGGGCAUCUUCGGAUGUCAGUGGCAGACGGGUGAGUAACACGUGGGAACGUACCCUUCGGUUCGGAAUAACUCAGGGAAACUUGAGCUAAUACCGGAUACGCCCUUUUGGGGAAAGGUUUACUGCCGAAGGAUCGGCCCGCGUCUGAUUAGCUUGUUGGUGGGGUAACGGCCUACCAAGGCGACGAUCAGUAGCUGGUCUGAGAGGAUGAUCAGCCACACUGGGACUGAGACACGGCCCAGACUCCUACGGGAGGCAGCAGUGGGGAAUAUUGGACAAUGGGCGCAAGCCUGAUCCAGCCAUGCCGCGUGAGUGAUGAAGGCCUUAGGGUUGUAAAGCUCUUUUGUCCGGGACGAUAAUGACGGUACCGGAAGAAUAAGCCCCGGCUAACUUCG